Molecule: long non-coding RNA, 665 nt
Organism: Anguilla anguilla (European eel)
Lineage: Eukaryota; Metazoa; Chordata; Actinopteri; Anguilliformes; Anguillidae
Exons: 4
Source: RefSeq, a predicted model, not a curated record
UGUAAUUCUGUAGCUGGAAUUGUGCUUUAAAGGUGGAAUUUCUGCAUUAAAGACUACUUUUAUCGGCAGCUGCCCACUCAGCUGAGCUGCCAGGUAAAGGGUUGAACAGUGCCCUACUUACGUCCGGUUCAGUUUCUCAGAUUCCGCCCGGUUACUCAGUAGAGGAUCAUGGGAAUGGCCCGUUAUCUCCAGUCACAAGGUUCAGAAAUAGCCUGCAGUCGGAGAAGCUUCAAAGCUGACAAAGAGAUGCUAGCAGGUUGACGCAAGUUAACAACAUACAGUAUUCAAGAUUUUCUGUCAGCUGCAAUUAUGAACACCACAGAAACCAAUAAUGUCAUAAAUGCGCAUGAUGACAAAGAUGACAAAGAUGGAGCAGCGGCCAAAAAUGAACCAAUGACCAUUGCAGUGUCUGCAAGCACACUGUUUAACACGAAGGACCAAAAAGAAAGUGAGACCAACGGGGAAACGAUUUUGAAGCUGGGAGUGGCAUUUCCUUUUAUAAAGGCCUUGGUGACAGCAAAUAAACAUUUACAGAAGCUUUACCCUGGCAAUGAGAUACCAUUCAACAUUGUCCUGAUGACUAAUACAGACACACAAGAGCAAUGCCUCAGAAACAGCCUCAAUGAGUUUAUGUCUUGUCUAUUUAAGUUCUUGUCUUCCCUGAC